This is a long non-coding RNA of Eurytemora carolleeae, 268 nucleotides long. RefSeq lists it as uncharacterized. Lineage: Eukaryota; Metazoa; Arthropoda; Copepoda; Calanoida; Temoridae. The transcript is spliced from 3 exons. The record is from RefSeq and is a predicted model, not a curated record.
UAAUGCCUGAAAUCUAUUGUGUAAAAAUAUGCCUAAGAGAAAGGGUGUCCAGAUUGGAAGAAAGUCUAAAAAAUCUUGAUUGGCAGAACUAAACAGAUUAAAUGAAACUAAAGAAGAAGCGGAAUGUAGACGUGAACAAGAACGUGUUCGUGCAUUUACAAAUAGAGAGAAUGAAUCCACUGAAUCUACACAACAAAGACGUGAACAAGAUCGUGUUCGUGCAUCUACAAAUAGAGAGAAUGAAUCCAUUGAAUCUACACAACAAAGG